Molecule: ribosomal RNA, 460 nt
Filed under: uncultured bacterium
Lineage: Bacteria
Description: partial 16S ribosomal RNA
Rfam family: Bacterial small subunit ribosomal RNA
Source: RNAcentral
CCUACGGGAGGCAGCAGUGAGGAAUAUUGGUCAAUGGACGAGAGUCUGAACCAGCCAAGUAGCGUGAAGGAUGACUGCCCUAUGGGUUGUAAACUUCUUUUAUAUGGGAAUAAAACGUUCCACGUGUGGGAUUUUGUAUGUACCAUAUGAAUAAGGAUCGGCUAACUCCGUUCCAGCAGCCGCGGUAAUACGGAGGAUCCGAGCGUUAUCCGGAUUUAUUGGGUUUAAAGGGAGCGUAGGUGGAUUGUUAAGUCAGUUGUGAAAGUUUGCGGCUCAACCGUAAAAUUGCAGUUGAAACUGGCAGUCUUGAGUACAGUAGAGGUGGGCGGAAUUCGUGGUGUAGCGGUGAAAUGCUUAGAUAUCACGAAGAACUCCGAUUGCGAAGGCAGUUCACUGGACUGCAACUGACACUGAGGCUCGAAAGUGUGGGUAUCAAACAGGAUUAGAUACCCUAGUAGUC